RNAcentral lists this ribosomal RNA (909 nucleotides) under Penicillium aurantiocandidum. Its description in RNAcentral is "LSU rRNA". It matches the Rfam family "Eukaryotic large subunit ribosomal RNA", at positions 36 to 964 of the family's 3401-position model. The record is from RNAcentral. Lineage: Eukaryota; Fungi; Ascomycota; Eurotiomycetes; Eurotiales; Aspergillaceae.
AAGCAUAUCAAUAAGCGGAGGAAAAGAAACCAACAGGGAUUGCCCCAGUAACGGCGAGUGAAGCGGCAAGAGCUCAAAUUUGAAAGCUGGCUCCUUCGGGGUCCGCAUUGUAAUUUGCAGAGGAUGCUUCGGGAGCGGUCCCCAUCUAAGUGCCCUGGAACGGGACGUCAUAGAGGGUGAGAAUCCCGUAUGGGAUGGGGUGUCCGCGCCCGUGUGAAGCUCCUUCGACGAGUCGAGUUGUUUGGGAAUGCAGCUCUAAAUGGGUGGUAAAUUUCAUCUAAAGCUAAAUAUUGGCCGGAGACCGAUAGCGCACAAGUAGAGUGAUCGAAAGAUGAAAAGCACUUUGAAAAGAGAGUUAAAAAGCACGUGAAAUUGUUGAAAGGGAAGCGCUUGCGACCAGACUCGCUCGCGGGGUUCAGCCGGCAUUCGUGCCGGUGUACUUCCCCGCGGGCGGGCCAGCGUCGGUUUGGGCGGUCGGUCAAAGGCCCUCGGAAGGUAACGCCCCUAGGGGCGUCUUAUAGCCGAGGGUGCAAUGCGACCUGCCUAGACCGAGGAACGCGCUUCGGCUCGGACGCUGGCAUAAUGGUCGUAAGCGACCCGUCUUGAAACACGGACCAAGGAGUCUAACAUCUACGCGAGUGUUCGGGUGUCAAACCCGUGCGCGAAGUGAAAGCGAACGGAGGUGGGAACCCUUACGGGUGCACCAUCGACCGAUCCUGAAGUCUUCGGAUGGAUUUGAGUAAGAGCGUAGCUGUUGGGACCCGAAAGAUGGUGAACUAUGCCUGAAUAGGGCGAAGCCAGAGGAAACUCUGGUGGAGGCUCGUAGCGGUUCUGACGUGCAAAUCGAUCGUCGAAUUUGGGUAUAGGGGGCGAAAGACUAAUCGAACCAUCUGGUAGCUGGUUCUGCGA